UUUCUAUUUCCAAUUAAUAAUUUAGAUAUAUUUAGUUAUGUGUUUUUAAAUUUCUAAACUGCUGUAUAAUUCAUUUAUGUGUUUUUCAAAAUUACAUAUAUUAAGUUUCUGUUUUAGAUAUAUUCAAUUUGCUGAUUUGCUAAUUUUAAGCAAAAAAACUUAAUUAAACCGAACAAUCGUGACAACGACAUAACCCAUACCAAUCAAUAGCCAAAAUAUGAUUUGUAACAUGCAUCAAUCUUACAAAAAUAACAUUUAAAAAUAUCAAAUUCUAUUUGUUUAAUUAAAUGUUUAUCGAAGAUAAGGCUCUAUCAUCAGAGUCAACAGCAGGCGUCGAUUUGUUGGCGACUUGACUGCCGCUUAGAGCCUAGAUUAAUUUCCGGAUUAAGACUUUAUGGAAAUUGUUUUUCGUGUUUUCAUGACACAAUAUACCGGAUAUAUUCCAAAAUGAAAUAAAAUAUGAAUGGAAUUGGAAUAUAGAUUCUCUUUUUAUGUUUAAACAAAAUAACAAUGUGAGAUCUUGAUUUUUUUUUAUUUAAAA
RNAcentral lists this long non-coding RNA (541 nucleotides) under Helianthus annuus (common sunflower). RNAcentral describes it as "hypothetical non coding rna". The record is from RNAcentral. Lineage: Eukaryota; Viridiplantae; Streptophyta; Magnoliopsida; Asterales; Asteraceae.